RNAcentral lists this ribosomal RNA (441 nucleotides) under uncultured bacterium. Its description in RNAcentral is "partial 16S ribosomal RNA". It matches the Rfam family "Bacterial small subunit ribosomal RNA", at positions 338 to 795 of the family's 1533-position model. The record is from RNAcentral.
CCUACGGGUGGCAGCAGUGGGGGAUAUUACACAAUGGGGGGAACCCUGAUGCAGCGACGCCGCGUGGGUGAAGGAGUGCUUCGGCAUGUAAAGCCCUAUCGGCAGGGAAGAAGCAAGACGGUACCUGACUAAGAAGCACCGGCUAACUACGUGCCAGCAGCCGCGGUAAUACGUAGGGGGCGAGCGUUAUCCGGAUUCACUGGUUGUAAAGGGCGCGUAGACGGCCAUGCAAGCCAGGGGUGAAAGCCCGGGGCCCAACCCCGGGACUGCCCUUGGAACUGUGCGGCUAGAGUGCGUGAGGGGCAGGCGGAAUUCCUGGUGUAGCGGUGAAAUGCGUAGAUAUCAGGAGGAACACCGGCGGCGAAGGCGGCCUGCUGGACCGCGACUGACGUUGAGGCUCGAAAGCGUGGGGAGCGAACAGGAUUAGAUACCCUGGUAGUC